Molecule: long non-coding RNA, 842 nt
Filed under: Marmota monax (woodchuck)
Lineage: Eukaryota; Metazoa; Chordata; Mammalia; Rodentia; Sciuridae
Source: RNAcentral
UAAAUUCUGACUUAGGAUAUAUCCAAUGUACAUACUAUCUUCUCUAUACUAAUAAUAUAAAUUACAAUGUGCCCAAGGUUUUCUUGUUCACAUGUAUCUGUUUUCUUUCAUUCAUUUUUUGCCAAUAAUUCAUUAUUAUCAUCUGUAUUUACAAUUUUCUUUUAAAAUUAAUUUUUAACUGAUACAUAAAAUAAAAUGUUCAUAUUAAUGAGGUAAUGUGUAAAAUAUAUAAUGUUGAAAUCAGGUUAAACACAUUUAUCUCCUUAAACAUUUAUCAUUUCUUUAUGGUGAAUAUUUUUGAAACACUAUCUUUGAGAAUUUUAAAAUGCACUGUAUAUUAUAUUAUAUAUAAGUCCCUUUACUGUCUUAUAACUUCUUGCUCCCAUUUAAAUGUAAGUUGGUACCUACUGAUCAACUUUUCCCCCUCUUUUCCUCUUCCCUACACCCCUAAUAUGUGGUAAUCACUGUUCUAUGCUCAACUUUUGUGACAUCUCAUGAGUGAAAUCAUGCAGUACUUGUCUUUCUGUUCCUGGCUUAUUUCAUUUAACAAAAAUCAUUAGUUCCAACCAUGUUGUUAGAAAUUACAGAAUUUCAUUUUUUUUUUUUUUACAGUCCAAUGUGGAGAUCCCACAUUUUCUUUAGCCAUUCAUCAGCUGAUCGACCCUCAGGUUGUUUUCAUUCCUUGGUUAUUAUUAAUAGUGCUGUAAUAAAGACUGAACUGUAAAUGUCUCUUAGACAUAUUGAUUUCAUUCCCUUUCAAUAUACAUCGAGAGUAAUAGAAGUCUAGGAUCAUAUGGUAGUUCUACAUUUUUAUCUUUUAAAAAGCCUUCAUAUUUUAAUUG